GCCUUAGUAGCGGCAAGUAAAGCGGCAAAAGCUCAAAUUUGAAAUCUGGCACUUUCAGUGUCCGAGUUGUAAUUUGAAGAAGGUAUCUUUGGGUCUGGCUCUUGUCUAUGUUUCUUGGAACAGAACGUCACAGAGGGUGAGAAUCCCGUGCGAUGAGAUGACCCAGACCUAUGUAAAGUUCCUUCGAAGAGUCGAGUUGUUUGGGAAUGCAGCUCUAAGUGGGUGGUAAAUUCCAUCUAAAGCUAAAUAUUGGCGAGAGACCGAUAGCGAACAAGUACAGUGAUGGAAAGAUGAAAAGAACUUUGAAAAGAGAGUGAAAAAGUACGUGAAAUUGUUGAAAGGGAAGGGCUUGAGAUCAGACUUGGUAUUUUGUAUGUUACUCUUUCGGGGGUGGCCUCUACAGUUUACCGGGCCAGCAUCAGUUUGGGCGGUAGGAGAAUUGCAAAGAAAUGUGGCACUGCUUCGGUAGUGUGUUAUAGUCUUUGUCGAUACUGCCAGCCUAGACUGAGGACUGCGGCUUCGGCCUAGGAUGUUGGCAUAAUGAUCUUAAGUCGCCCGUCUUGAAACACGGACCAAGGAGUCUAACGUCUAUGCAAGUGUUUGGGUGUAAAACCCGUACGCGUAAUGAAAGUGAACGUAGGUAGGACCUCCUUUAGGAGUGCACUAUCGACCGAUCCUGAUGUCUUCGGAUGGAUUUGAGUAAGAGCAUAGCUGUUGGGACCCGAAAGAUGGUGA
This 735-nucleotide ribosomal RNA is filed under the name Lodderomyces metapsilosis. RNAcentral's name for it is "Candida metapsilosis partial large subunit ribosomal RNA". It matches the Rfam family "Eukaryotic large subunit ribosomal RNA", at positions 77 to 829 of the family's 3401-position model. Lineage: Eukaryota; Fungi; Ascomycota; Pichiomycetes; Serinales; Debaryomycetaceae. The record is from RNAcentral.